Megalobrama amblycephala (Wuchang bream) is the source of this 548-nucleotide long non-coding RNA. RefSeq lists it as uncharacterized. NCBI's taxonomy places the organism in Eukaryota, Metazoa, Chordata, Actinopteri, Cypriniformes, Xenocyprididae. The transcript is spliced from 2 exons. The record is from RefSeq and is a predicted model, not a curated record.
UUUUUCAAAUACAGCCUGCCGAAAAACACUAAAAGUAUCAUAAUAGUAGUCCAUAUAUGACUCUUGUGAAGUAUUCAAGUCGUAUGACGUAUUUGUGCGCCGAACAGACUGAAAUUUAUGUCCUUAAUAUUCACAGAAAAUCUUGUCAGAUGCCUCGAUUAAUGAACAAGUCGUUCUUUUAAGUUGAUUUUUUUUUUUUUUUUUUUUUUUUUUUCAGCGAAUCGGUUGAUCCAGUUCACACAACUGGUCUGUCGGGAUCUUAUCAUGACUUCUGAUCCAGUCACAGCCAACUAUCAAUCAGUAAAUAACAGCUUAAAUAUACGACGUUUUUGACACAAAGCUGUCAUAUAAAUUGGGAAUAGGCCUAUAGCACACAAGUGAAAUCUACCACUUUUUCUAGUGUUUAUCAUAGGUGUUUAUAUAGUUUUUUUUUUUUUCAGAACUGGAGCAACAUGAGGGUGCGCAUCUGAAGCGGAUGAAACAACGCUCGGCUAUCCUAAAUAAAGCGACGUGACUUGAGGAAUCCGCGCCGGUUGCCAUUUCGCCAG